AUUGAACGCUGGCGGCAUGCCUUACACAUGCAAGUCGAACGGCAGCACGGGUGCUUGCCCCUGGUGGCGAGUGGCGCACGGGUGAGUAAUACAUCGGAACAUGUCCUGUAGUGGGGGAUAGCCCGGCGAAAGCCGGAUUAAUACCGCAUACGAUCUACGGAUGAAAGCGGGGGACCUUCGGGCCUCGCGCUAUAGGGUUGGCCGAUGGCUGAUUAGCUAGUUGGUGGGGUAAAGGCCUACCAAGGCGACGAUCCGUAGAUGGUCUGAGAGGACGACCAGCCACACUGGGACUGAGACACGGCCCAGACUCCUACGGGAGGCAGCAGUGGGGAAUUUUGGACAAUGGGCGAAAGCCUGAUCCAGCAAUGCCGCGUGUGUGAAGAAGGCCUUCGGGUUGUAAAGCACUUUUGUCCGGAAAUAAAUCCUUGGCUCUAAUACAGUCGGGGGAUGACGGUACCGGAAGAAGAAGCACCGGCUAACUACGUG
Molecule: ribosomal RNA, 486 nt
Filed under: uncultured bacterium
Lineage: Bacteria
Description: partial 16S ribosomal RNA
Rfam family: Bacterial small subunit ribosomal RNA
Source: RNAcentral